Molecule: ribosomal RNA, 248 nt
Filed under: uncultured bacterium
Lineage: Bacteria
Description: partial 16S ribosomal RNA
Rfam family: Bacterial small subunit ribosomal RNA
Source: RNAcentral
AGGCAGCGAGCGUUGUUCGGAAUUACUGGGCGUAAAGAGUGUGUAGGCGGUGCUCUAAGUUCGGUGUGAAAUCUCCCGGCUUAACUGGGAGGGUGCGCCGGAAACUGGAGUGCUCGAACGUGGGAGAGGAAAGCGGAAUUCCUGGUGUAGCGGUGAAAUGCGUAGAUAUCAGGAGGAACACCUGCGGUGUAGACGGCUUUCUGGACCAUUGUUGACGCUGAGACACGAAAGCGUGGGUAGCAAACAGG